This 253-nucleotide ribosomal RNA is filed under the name uncultured bacterium. Its description in RNAcentral is "partial 16S ribosomal RNA". It matches the Rfam family "Bacterial small subunit ribosomal RNA", at positions 524 to 776 of the family's 1533-position model. The record is from RNAcentral.
UACAUGUGGGGCAAGCGUUGUUCGGAAUUACUGGGCAUAAAGGGUGCGUAGGUGGUUUGCUAAGUCAGGGGUGAAAUCCCGCGGCCCAACCGUGGAACUGCCUUUGAUACUGGCGAACUUGAGUGCGUGAGGGGUAACCGGAACGAGCAGUGUAGCGGUGAAAUGCGUAGAUAUUGCUCGGAAGGCCAGAGGCGAAGGCAGGUUACUGGUACGCAACUGACACUGAGGCACGAAAGCGUGGGGAGCGAACAGG